ACCGAACGGCAUGGGAAGGCCGGUCAGAGAGUGUGAGAACCACGUAGGUGAAAAUGACGAGAGCUGAGCGAUUUCCAGAGUACGGCCAGACACGUGAAACCUGGUCGGAAGAUGGGGGGACCACCCUCCAACCCUAAAUACUACCCAGUGACCGAUAGCGUAUAGUACUGUGAAGGAAAGGUGAAAAGCACCCCGGGAGGGGAGUGAAAAAGAACCUGAAACCCUGUGCCUACAAGCACCUAGAGCACGUCAAUGUGUGAUAGGGUACUUUUUGUAGAACGGUCCGGCGAGCGAUUGUAUGCAGCAAGGUUAAGGACUUAAGGUCUGGAGCCGAAGCGAAAGCGAGUUUGAAAAGGGCGUUAAGUUGCAUAUAAUGGGCCCGAAACCGGGUGACCUACCCAUGGUCAGGUUGAAGUGGAAGUAAAAUUCCAUGGAGGACCGAACCGACCUCCGUUGAAAAGGCGGCGGAUGAACUGUGGGUAGCGGAGAAAUUCCAAUCGAACCCGGAGAUAGCUGGUUCUCCCCGAAAUAGUUUUAGGACUAGCCUCAAGUUAGAUACCUGGAGGUAAAGCACUGAAUAGCCUAGCGGCCGAGAGGUUAGCGAAGCUUAUCAAACUCAGAAUGCCAGAGUAUUGAUGCUUGGGAGUCAGACAGUGUCAGAUAAAUGUCAUUGUCAAAAGGGAAACAGCCCAGAUCUACAGCUAAGGUCCCAAAGUCAGGUUAAGUGGAAAACGAUGUGAAGAUACGCAGACAACCAGGAUGUUGGCUCAGAAGCAGCCACUCAUUCAAAGAGUGCGUAAUAGCUCACUGGUCGAGCGUCUUUGCGCGGAGAAUUUAACGGGGCUAAACCUGACACCGAAGCUUAGGCAAUCCAGUAAUGGAUUGGGUAGGGGAGCGUUGUAUACGCGGAGAAACAGUAGCGUAAGCGGCUGUGGAGUGUAUAGAAGUGAGAAUGCCGGAAUGAGUAGCGCGAAUGCAGUGAGAAUCUGCAUGGCCGAAAGCCUCAGGUUUUUGGAGGAAGGUUCGUCCGCUCCAAGUUAGUCGGGAGCUAAGGUGAGGCCGGAAGGCGUAGCCGAUGCACAGACGGUAGAGAUUCCGUCACCACCAAAAGAGUUAAGCACAGGGACACAUUUGAAGUCUCAGAGCCGGGUGUUGGUUCCGGUAGAGAUCGAGGGAAGUUAGUACCGAAGUCUGGGAUGGAAGAUGGCGAGAAAAGCUGUGUGUAUUUCUGAGGUGCCCGUACCGCAAACCGACACAGGUAGGUAGGAAGAAGAUUCUAAGGCCAACGGGAGAAGGGUUGUUAAGGAACUCGGCAAAUUGACCCCGUAACUUCGGGAGAAGGGGUGCUCCAGAGAUGGAGCCGCAGAGAAUCGGCCCAAGCAACUGUUUACCAAAAACACAGGUUUGUGCUAAAUCGAAAGAUGACGUAUACGAGCUGACGCCUGCCCGGUGCUGGAAGGUUAAGAGGAGAUGUGCAAGCAUUGAAUCGAAGCCCCAGUGAACGGCGGCCGUAACUAUAACGGUCCUAAGGUAGCGAAAUUCCUUGUCAGGUAAGUUCUGACCCGCAUGAAAGGCGUAAUGAUUUGGGCACUGUCUCAACAGCCCGCCCGGCGAAAUUGUAGUACCGGUGAAGAUGCCGGUUACCCGCGACAAGACGGAAAGACCCCAUGGAGCUUUACUGUAGCCUAAUAUUGGGUUUCGAUGUUGCAUGCACAGGAUAGAUGGGACACUGGGAAACAAUCGCUUUGGCGGUUGCGGAGUGGCCGUUGGGAUACCAUCCUUGCGAUAUUGGAAUUCUAACCUGCGGCUCUGAAUCGAGUCGGGGGACAUUGUUAGGUGGGCAGUUUGACUGGGGCGGUCGCCUCCUAAAAAGUAACGGAGGCGUUCAAAGGUUCGCUCAGCUUGAACGGAAAUCAAGCAAAAGAGUGCAAACGCAGAAGCGAGCCUAACUGCGAGACUGACGGGUCGAGCAGUAACGAAAGUUGGAGUUAGUGAUCCGGUGGUAUGUGAGUGGAAAUGCCAUCGCUCAACGGAUAAAAGUUACCCUGGGGAUAACAGGCUGAUCUCCCCCAAGAGUCCACAUCGACGGGGAGGUUUGGCACCUCGAUGUCGGCUCAUCGCAUCCUGGGGCUGAAGUAGGUCCCAA
Molecule: ribosomal RNA, 2146 nt
Filed under: metagenome
Description: bacterial LSU rRNA
Rfam family: Bacterial large subunit ribosomal RNA
Source: RNAcentral